RNAcentral lists this ribosomal RNA (254 nucleotides) under uncultured bacterium. Its description in RNAcentral is "partial 16S ribosomal RNA". It matches the Rfam family "Bacterial small subunit ribosomal RNA", at positions 524 to 776 of the family's 1533-position model. The record is from RNAcentral.
UACGGAGGGGGCUAGCGUUGUUCGGAGUUACUGGGCGUAAAGGGCGCGUAGGCGGUUCGGUGAGUUGGGCGUGAAAGGCCUGGGCUUAACCCGGGGACUGCGCUUGAUACUGCCGGGCUAGGAGGACGGGAGAGGAUGGCGGAAUUCCCAGUGUAGAGGUGAAAUUCGUAGAUAUUGGGAAGAACACCGGUGGCGAAGGCGGCCAUCUGGCCCGGGACUGACGCUGAGGCGCGAAAGCGUGGGGAGCAAACAGG